UUACUUACCCGGCAGGGGGGAUACCAUGAUCAAGAAGGUGGUUUACCCAGGGUGAGGCUUAACCAUUGCACUCCAGUUGUGCUGACCCCUGCAAAUUCGCCAAAUGUGGGAAUCUUGAUUGCAUAAUUUCUGGUAGUGGGAGACUGCAUUCGCGCUCUCCCCUG
Lampris incognitus (smalleye Pacific opah) is the source of this 164-nucleotide small nuclear RNA. RefSeq annotates it as U1 spliceosomal RNA. The record is from RefSeq and is a predicted model, not a curated record. NCBI's taxonomy places the organism in Eukaryota, Metazoa, Chordata, Actinopteri, Lampriformes, Lampridae. The transcript has a single exon.